AGCCGCGUGGCGCAAUGGGUAACGGGCCUGCCUCCGGGGCAGAAGAUUUCAGGUUCGAAUCCUGCCGUGGUCG
Angiostrongylus cantonensis (rat lungworm) is the source of this 73-nucleotide non-coding RNA. Lineage: Eukaryota; Metazoa; Nematoda; Chromadorea; Rhabditida; Metastrongylidae. The record is from Rfam.